GAAAGAAUUUCGGUGAAGGAUGGGCAUGCGUCGCAUUAGUUAGUUGGCGGUGUAACGGACCACCAAGACGACGAUGCGUAGGGGUUCUGAGAGGAAGGUCCCCCACACUGGUACUGAGACACGGACCAGACUCCUACGGGAGGCAGCAGUGAGGAAUAUUGGUCAAUGGCCGAGAGGCUGAACCAGCCAAGUCGCGUGAGGGAAGAAUGUCCUAUGGAUUGUAAACCUCUUUUGUCAGGGAGCAAAGUCACCCACGUGUGGGUGUUGGAGAGUACCUGAAGAAAAAGCAUCGGCUAACUCCGUGCCAGCAGCCGCGGUAAUACGGAGGAUGCGAGCGUUAUCCGGAUUUAUUGGGUUUAAAGGGUGCGUAGGCGGGUUAUCAAGUCAGCGGUAAAAUCGUGGAGCUCAACUCCAUCCAGCCGUUGAAACUGAUGAUCUUGAGUGGGCGAGAAGUAUGCGGAAUGCGUGGUGUAGCGGUGAAAUGUAUAGAUAUCACGCAGAACUCCGAUUGCGAAGGCAGCAUACCGGCGCCCGACUGACGCUGAAGCACGAAAGCGUGGGUAUCGAACAGGAUUAGAUACCCUGGUAGUCCACGCAGUAAACGAUGAAUACUAAUUGUGUGCUCCGAAUGAGGAGUGC
Molecule: ribosomal RNA, 639 nt
Filed under: uncultured bacterium
Lineage: Bacteria
Description: bacterial SSU rRNA
Rfam family: Bacterial small subunit ribosomal RNA
Source: RNAcentral